This 253-nucleotide ribosomal RNA is filed under the name uncultured Coprococcus sp. Its description in RNAcentral is "partial 16S ribosomal RNA". It matches the Rfam family "Bacterial small subunit ribosomal RNA", at positions 524 to 776 of the family's 1533-position model. Lineage: Bacteria; Bacillati; Bacillota; Clostridia; Lachnospirales; Lachnospiraceae. The record is from RNAcentral.
UACGUAGGGGGCAAGCGUUAUCCGGAUUUACUGGGUGUAAAGGGAGCGUAGGCGGCAAGGUAAGCCAGAAGUGAAAGCCCGCGGCUCAACUGCGGGACUGCUUUUGGAACUAUCUAGCUAGAUUGCAGGAGAGGUAAGUGGAAUUCCUAGUGUAGCGGUGAAAUGCGUAGAUAUUAGGAGGAAUACCGUUAGCGAAGGCGGCAAUCUGGCUGGAAACUGACGCUGAGGUGCGAAAGCGUGGGUAGCAAACAGG